AGCAGCCGCGGUAAUUCCAGCUCCAAUAGCGUAUAUUAAAGUUGUUGCAGUUAAAAAGCUCGUAGUUGAAUUUCGGGACUAAUAUGUCGGUCGUACUUUGUACGUACUAGCAUUAUUGGUUUCUCCCUUCUGACGAACCACGAUGUCAUUAAUUUGGUGUCGUGGGAAAUCAGGACUGUUACUUUGAAAAAAUUGAGUGUUUAAAGCAAGCUCGCGCUUGAAUACAUUAGCAUGGAAUAAUGAAAUAGGACGUUUGAUUCUAUUUUGUUGGUUUCUAGGAUCGACGUAAUGAUUAAUAGGGAUAGUUGGGGGCAUUAGUAUUCAAUUGUCAGAGGUGAAAUUCUUGGAUUUUAUUGAAGACUAACUACUGCGAAAGCAUUUGCCAAGGAUGUUUUCA
Molecule: ribosomal RNA, 397 nt
Filed under: uncultured Glomus
Lineage: Eukaryota; Fungi; Glomeromycota; Glomeromycetes; Glomerales; Glomeraceae
Description: SSU rRNA
Rfam family: Eukaryotic small subunit ribosomal RNA
Source: RNAcentral